Molecule: ribosomal RNA, 468 nt
Filed under: uncultured bacterium
Lineage: Bacteria
Description: partial 16S ribosomal RNA
Rfam family: Bacterial small subunit ribosomal RNA
Source: RNAcentral
GACGAACGCUGGCGGCGUGCUUAACACAUGCAAGUCGAACGGUGAAGCUCCAGCUUGCUGGAGUGGAUCAGUGGCGAACGGGUGAGUAACACGUGAGCAACCUGCCCCUGACUCUGGAAUAAGCGCUGGAAACGGCGUCUAAUACUGGAUACGAGAAGGGUCCGCAUGGGCACUUUCUGGAAAGUUUUUCGGUUGGGGAUGGGCUCGCGGCCUAUCAGCUUGUUGGUGAGGUAAUGGCUCACCAAGGCGACGACGGGUAGCCGGCCUGAGAGGGCGACCGGCCACACUGGGACUGAGACACGGCCCAGACUCCUACGGGAGGCAGCAGUGGGGAAUAUUGCACAAUGGGCGAAAGCCUGAUGCAGCGACGCCGCGUGAGGGAUGACGGCCUUCGGGUUGUAAACCUCUUUCAGCAGGGAAGAAGCGAAAGUGACGGUACCUUCAGAAGAAGCACCGGCUAACUACGUG